RNAcentral lists this long non-coding RNA (30310 nucleotides) under Capsicum annuum. RNAcentral's name for it is "long non-coding RNA (CANN_LNC010420)". The record is from RNAcentral. Lineage: Eukaryota; Viridiplantae; Streptophyta; Magnoliopsida; Solanales; Solanaceae.
UACAUUACACGUUUUUUAUGUUAAAUAACAUGCCCCGCCUCACAUACCCUUACUACCUAACCUCUGCAUCCAUGUACGCGAUGCAAAACUUUCAAAUCACUUGUCAUUCGUGCUGUAAACCCACUAAAUUCCCAAUUAAACCCCAAAUUAAAAUUGGGUCAACCAACCUAGUUUUCCAAUUUAUAAGAAAUCAACACCCUAAAUCCUCAUUAUUCUUUUAUUUUGAGCCUUAUCCGAGCUGCUUACCCUUUUCUUGUACUGAAAGUUGCGCCCCAAUAUAAAUCUACAAGACUUUUCCUCUCUUUUUCUUCUAGCACUUCACUUUAAGGUUUGUUUUCUUUUUUUCUUUCUCUUUUUUGGGUUCAAAGAUCAUGUAUUGUUAAUAACCAAAAAGCUAUCUUUCUAAAGACGGAUAGAAACUCACCAUCUAUCUUCUUAAUCUAACACUAUACAUCAAUCUAGAUAUCAAAUACCUAUAGCACUGCAAAGAAUACAUACAUCAGUUUUAUCAUUCUACUCCUAAGGAAAGUAAUUUAGCUUGCUCAAUAAAUUCCUCCAGGAUGCUCUAUCUCUUCCUUGAAUGUGUAAGUGCAUUACUAUGCCAUAAAAUAUGUGAUUAUCCAUUGCUUGUCCAUUAUUGAAUCUCAAUGUAUUCCUAUCAAGCCAUAUACUAUAGAUAAACAUUGCAAAUGUGCCACAAAUGGACUCAACAUAAGCUCAUUUCUUCUUUGGUACUGUGCAUAUCCAUUUUAUUUUCUACUGCCAUGUUAUACUGGUUCUUCUAAUUUGCAGCCAAUUUAACAUUUCUCUCCACACCUGGUUGCUAUAAGUGCAACUGAAGAACAGGUGGUCAAAAGACUCUAUAUCUUUAUCACAAAAGAUGCAAUUCAUUGGUACUUGGAUUUCUAUCUUUUGAAGCCUCACUACAUUUACCAACCUUUGCUGUACUGCCAUCCAUAACAUGAACUUAAACCUUGGGUGCACUUGAUUUUGUAAGGUUAUAUUCUUCCAUGGAACCUUAGGUAGUUGAGACAUCAUGGUUUGGUAUGCUUGUUUAAUCUUGAACUUGCUACUUUGCACCAUCUUUUCCAGGAAAUACUGAAUUGAGCCUUGGUAUUAUUGCUGUAAAAUCACCACUUGUCUAUUAUCUAUAAUUUUUUUCACCGCCCAAGCUGUAGUUUUAGGACUCGUUACCAUUUCCAAUCCAUUACUAUUGAUAUAGUGAUAGUGCACUUGAUUCAUAAUGUGUCUUUCUUCAUAGAUAUAGCCCACAGGUGCUUCAGAAUAGCUGCUUUGUUCCAUCUUUUGAUAUCAAUUACAUUCAGUCCACCUGUUAAACCUGGACAACAUAUUCUUUCCCAUGCCACUAUUUUCUUCCUUGAUAUAUCACCUUUACCUAUCCAGAGAAAGGUUCUACACACUGCUUCUGGCAUCUUGAUCACUUUUUGUGGUAGUACAAAAAUUUAUGUCCAAUAACUUUGCAUUCAAAAAAAUACAAACUUGACGAGCUGAAUUCUUCUAGAGUAUGAUAGUAACUUAGCUGACCAGUAGUUUAUCUGGGCUGUAAACUUCUCAACUAGUGGUAGGUAUUGGGGUACUGUUAGCUUUUUGGUGGAAAGAUGAACCCCUGAGUACUUGAAUGGGAGUUUUUCAUCCACAUAACCCAAUCAUUUUAUAAUAUAUAUUUCCAAGCUACUAGUAGUACCUAUUAUAUAGAUUGAGCUCUUCUCCUGAUUAGGUCUCAGACCAGAUGCUUUAGAGAAUUUUCAAAAGUUAUCUUGUAUCAAGAUGGUAGAGGUUAAAUAGGCCUUACAAAACAUAUGUAGGUCAUUAUCAAAAUGCAUAUGUAUCACUCCAAAUAUCUUUCAUCUAGGAUGGAAGUGAAAUGGGUUAUUGAGCACCAACUGUGUCAAUUCCCUAUGCAAGUUUUCCAUUGUUAUAACAAAGAGAUAGGGAGACAUGGGGUCCCCUUGCCUCAGUCGUCUCUUAGCUUGAAAUGGUUGUGUUAGUCCACCAUUUAGCAUUAAUGAAUAAGGGAUUGUUGACACAUAUUCCAUUAUCCAGUUAAUGAACUUUUAAGGAAACCUUAGUUCUGUCAGCAUAUCUCUUAAAAACUGCCACUCUAGUGUAUCAUAUACUUUCCUCGUAUCCACUUUUAGUAUACACCUAAGUGAUAUCCAUUUUCUUGUGUAGCUUUUAAAUUACUCAUGACUCAGCAGUAUAUUAUCAGAGAUGAUCCUCCCUUCACAAAAGCUGAUUGGGACAUUUCUAUCAAUCCAUUUAUUACCUUCUGCAUCUUGUUAGUGAGAAUUUCGGCAACCAGUUUGUAUAGAGUGGAAAAACAAACAAUGGGUCUAUAAUCCUUCACCUUAAUAGGUGAAGAAAAUUUUGGAAUAAAGUUAUGGAAGUGCAUUUCUAGGCUUUCAUUAUCUUACCCUCAGAAAAGAACUACUGUACAGCUCAUACGCACUCGCCUUCACCUCUUCCUAGUUGCUGUUGAAAAACUCAAUAGGGUAACCAUCUAUUCCAGGACUUUUGUCUAGUUGUAUGCCUUUGACUGUAUGAUAAAUAUCCUCUACACUAACUUAUUGUAUAUACAUGAAUUAUUGGUUCCUGUCAAGACAUGGACCUGCUUUUGAUCACUAAUGCAUUUAGAUAAGGCAAUUCCUCAACACUACCCCCUUGAGCAAUGUAAAGAAUGACACAAAUUCCAUUUUCACUUUCUUAGGGUUAGUCAACUUUACUCCAUUCUCAGUAUAUAUAGCAAUGAUAGAAUUGUGAGUUGUUCUGAUCAUUACUUGAUCAUGAAAGUACUUAGUAUUAGCAUCCUUACUAUCAAUCAAACACACUCUUGAUUUCUGUCAUAGUACCUUCUCCUCAAUGAGACUCUAUUUUUAUAUUUCUCUUAAUAUUGCCUCCCCUUGCUCAAUUAAAGUUGGCUUGAAUAAUUGGUUAUUAAUUUGAGUUUGUACAAUCUCUAGUUGUUACCUAGCCUUAUUGAGCUUCUAUGCAUAUGAGGCCAUGAAGAUAUUCAAUUCCUGUAACUCCACUUUUAGUUUCUUCAGUUUGUUCCACAAUCCUUGCAUUGCGUUUCCACUUGUUGAUCUCUGCCAAAUUGUAAUACCCCGGGAAAUUUUUUGCUGAAAUUUUAUGCGUAAAUGUGUUGGUUUCUAUCUUCUAGAAUGAAUUAUAAAUUUUUUCAUGCGGAAUGUAAUAGAUUAUGACCCACCAUUGCGUAGAGUAUCGAAUAAGAUUUCCAACGAUAUGUGGAUCAUCCAAAACGGACACCCGAGCGAUAAGUUAUGAACAUUUCGAUUGAACUGUGAAUAGUAGUGAACAGUAAAACACGCAGGAAAAAGUACUGAGGCCUGACAUAUUUUUCAUCCAGCUUAAAACGAUCAUAAAUCCUUACACAUAAUGAUUUGGGUGAUCUACUAUAUAUAUCAACGGAAAGCUAUGCGAGUCCUCUUUCCAAUGAAAUUGGUUUCAUUCAAUUUGUCUAUUGGAGCAAAAAGUUAUUGCCGAUCUACUUCAACCUACCGAAAGAAAAUUUUUGGGUCAACUUCGAAUGAUCAUAACUCUUCGUACACAAUGAUAUGAGUGAGAUACUAUAUAUCAAUGGAAAUAUAUGAGAUUCCUCUUUCUAAUGAAAUUGGUUUCAUCCAAUUUUGAUAUCGGAGUAAAACGUUAUGGUCGAUCUACUUCAGACUAUCAAAACAGUCCAUCAAAAGACAGAUUCGAGAAUUAUUUGAUUUUUAGGGGUGUUUUGGUCAUCCCCCCUCACCCAAAAUCCAUCCAAACCCUAUAUUAAAGCCUAUUAGAAGCAUUAUAUGUUAUAUUUCAUCAAAUUCCCUAAAAAAACCCUAAGCUCCUACAUCCAACUUCAAGAACCUCCAAAGUUCACCAUUAAACCUGCAAAUUUAUUCAAGAUUCCAAGUUCUUAGUUCAAGAACUCCAAGAACCAUCAUUUAAAGGCACGAUUAACAUCUCAAAAAUGAGUAUCGAUCUAAAGUUCAUCAUUCAAGGUAUGUGGGGUUUUUCAACAAGAACUUUCUUUCGUUCUUGUGCCAAAAAGUAAUUUUCUUUACAAAGGCAUGAUUUUUAUUUGAUUUUUACGAAUUUGAAGCAUGAACCCAUAUCUUAUGAUGAUUAUUAUGAAAUCUUGUUGUUUAUGAUUUUGAAAGAUGAAUUUACAUGUGUGGAGAUAUAAAGAAUGAAUCUUGAAGGAUAUUUAUCAUGAUUUUGAUAUUUGGGUCGUGAAUCCCCAUUGGAAAUUGUAUUUUUUGAGAAAGUGUGUGUUAUAAGCACGUUGAUGUUGAAUAUUUGAGAUAUUUUGAAUGAUGUGACCUUUUGGUCUUAAUGGAGUUGUUUUGAACUCGAGUGUGAAAGAAAUUCACAGCGUGGUUGAUUUUGAUAGAUGGGAAGCAUGAUGGAUCCCGAGGUAUAUUUAUAUAUUACUAAAAUUGUUUUGUUGUGGAUUGUCUUUUAAAUGAUUUGAGCUAAGUCUGAGAGAAAUCAUCAGCAUCGAGUGGAAGGUAUAAAGCGGCCUUACUUCCCUAGAACUACGUGCACCCAUAGGAGUAAGCCUGAGGCUGAUUUAUAUAGUGAUCACUAGUUUGUGUGGAUUUGAUAUCGAUAGUCCUACUAUGAUGGAAAGGAUAGGACGUCUCUCCCCAACGUGGGUCGUACGUUGGACUCCAUGUGGCUCACAUGGUUUAUGUCAGUUAUAGGAUCUCCCAGUGUGUGUGUGUUUCCUUGUGUCUAUGGUGAAUGGUGAAGUGAUUUGAAAGUGGAAUUGUGAAAGUUAUUCUUUCGAAAGAUUUAAAUGAUAUUUACAUUAUGAGAAUUGAUAUUCUUGAUGAACUGAAAGUGAUUGACAAAUUAUAUGAUGACUCACAUGUGUUAUUGUACUUAUUUCAUCCUCUCAUGAUUAUGAUGAUUUUCUUCGAGCUAUGUGAGUCUUUCAUACAUCCUGCAUAUUUCUUAUAAAUAUUUAUGAUGAUGAUGUUUAUACAGCUGCAUACACGCCCCAUAUACUCGGUUCCUUUCCAUGGUACUAACCCACAUCUUCGGAUGUGGGCUGCAUUUUCUCAAAAUAUAGGUUCAGGUGCUCAGUUCUAGGUUCGACAAUGAUUCUUCAGGCAUACUGUUCUAUAUCCUCUAUUGUGGUGAGUCCUCAUGUUUUGAGGACGUGAUGUCUGAUGUUGGUUUCACAGAAUUGUUUACAUUUGAUAACUGAGUAUGAGUCAGUUGGGGCAUGUCUCAAUGGCUCGCUGGUUUUAUUGAUUUUCUUAGAGGCUUGUCAGACUAGUAUAGAUGUUGGGAGUUGGAUAAUAAGUCAUAUUUUGUUAUAUUUUUGAAAUUCUUUUAUUCUUAGAUGAUGAUUACUCUGUUGAUAUUUGAAGGUUAUUUAUGGAAACCCCGUUGAUUUGUGUUGAUUUGUGUUGAUUUGUGACGCUUUGAGACUAAUUUUUUGGGGUGUUACAAACUUGGUAUCAAAGCCUAAGGUUUUAAGGUGUCCUAGGGAGUCUGACAAGCCACGUUAAGUAGAGUCUUGAUCAUUGGUGUGUAGCGCGCCACAUCUAUGAGCAAGAGGCUACAAGAUGUUUUAGGAAAAAGCGUGAUUCUUUCUUUUAGAAGUCUAUCAUGCUUAAAGUAUCUCACUUUGCUAUUGAUUCGUGCUCUUCUCUUUUAGAAAUAUACCUCCACGUUGAGCUAGAAGAAAUAAUGAUGGUCAUAAACCUUAACCCGCUAACCCAUUGAAUGAAAACGUGUCUCCUACUGAAUUUUUGGGCAACCUUUUAGGCGCUGGCCAAAACUAUUACUACAAAUGUUUAGGCCAACUCAGCCCCGGCUUCGCAGUAGCAGAGAGGUGAUUUAGCUGCUGCAUGGAUCCAUGACUUCAUGUAGAUGAAUCCACUGGAAUUCUAUGGGUCCAAGUCUGAUGCGGAUCCACGAUUAUUUUUAGAGGAGGUGCAGAAGAUUACUCAGGUGAUGCAUGUAUCUGAGGAACAUAGUGUAGAGUUGGCUACGUAUAGGUUGAAAGACCUUGCUUAUGACUGAAUUAUUGCUUGGAGGAAAGGUAGAGGUGAGGGAGCUAUUCCUACAACUUGGCAAGAGUUCCAGGAUGCAUUCCUGGAUAAGUUUUUCCCUUUGGAGAUAAGAGAGGUGAAAGUGAAAGAGUUUAUGAACCUGCGAUAGGGCUCUAUGACUGUUAGGGAGUACUGUCUAAAGUUCAAUCAGUUUGCCAAGUAUGCUCCUGACUUAGUGGCUGAUAAUUGGGCUAGUAUGAGUAAGUUUAUGACUAGAGUGUCUAGUUAUGUAGUUAAGGAGUUUAGGUCUGCUAUGCUGAAUAGUGAGAUGAAUCUUUCUAGGAUGAUGAACCAUGCCCAAUAUAUUGAGGCAGAAAAGAUUAAAGAGAGAGAUAGAAUGAGAUAGAUUAAGAGAGCUAGAUCCGAGAAGCACGGACAGGGUCAGACUAGAUCGUAGGGAAGGAGUCGUCCUUAGUAUCAGGAUCAUUCGUCUAUGCCAGCACCAUUAUCUGCUAGUGCUCCAGUGCCUAGAGGUAGGUAGGAGCAAGGUAGCAGGUCAUAUGUAUCCAAGUCCCAGGACAGUGCUGGUAGUAAGCCAAAUCAUCCCCUAUGUUCUAACUAUGGUAGGGCUCAUUUGGGUGAGUGUUGGGAUGAGAAAAGGGGUUAUUUCCAGUGUGGUAACAUGGGUCACAGAUUUAAAGAUUAUUGACAGGAUGGACAAGGGCGUUGUGACUAUCACCCUUAGACUCAGACUAAGACUGUUAGUGCUCCAGUUCCAGCGACUCGCCCAGUCCCAGCUUAGGGCGCCUCUUCUAGCAAUGCUGGCGGGCAGCGCCAGAAUAGAUUGUAUGCUUUUCCAUCCCACCAGGAACAAGAGGACUCUCCCGAUGUUGUUACUGGUAUGCUUCGUAUAUUUCAGUUUGAUGUGUAUGCUUUGUUGGAUCCUGGAUCUAGUUUCUCAUAUGUUACACCUUUGAUUGCUGUGAAUUUUUAAAUGAGUCUUGAGAUUAUUCCUGAGCCUAUCCUAGUUUCUACCCCAGUGGCUGAUUCGAUUAUUGCCCAGAAAAUGUAUAAAAAGUGUCCUGUUAUCGUUCUUCAUAGAGUCUUGUUGGCUGAUCUGAUUGAGUUUGACAUGGUAGAUUUUGAUGUGAUUCUGGGUAUGGACUAGCUGUAUUCUUCUUAGGCCUCUAUUGAUUGUCAGACCUGAGUGGUCAAGUUUCAGUUUUUGGGAGCAUCCGUGUUUGAAUGGUCUGGGAAUUUUGUGUCACCCAAGAGUCAUUUUAUCUCUUACCUCAAAGCUAGAAAGAUUAUUUAUAAGGGGUGUAUUUACCAUUUGGUUAGAGUCAAAGACACUAAGUAUGAGACUCCAACUCUCCAGUCUAUUAAUGUCGUCAAUGAAUUUUCUGAUGUCUUUCCGGAUGAUCUUCUAGGGAUACCUCCUGAUAGAGAGAUAGAGUUCGGGAUUGAUCUUCUUCCCGAUACUCAGCCUAUUUCUAUUCCUUCUUACCAUAUGGCCCCUAUAGAACUUAAGGAGUUGAAAAAGCAACUCAAAGAUCUACUAGAUAAGGGUUUCAUAAGGCCUAGUGUUUCUCUUUGGGGUGCUCCUGUGCUGUUUGUGAGAAAGAAAAAUGGCUCUUUGUGUAUGUGCAUUGAUUACCGCCAAAUGAAUAAAAUCACCAUAAAAAAUAAGUACCCCCUUCUGAGAAUAGAUGAUUUGUUUGAGCAAUUGCAAGGUGCAAGUUAUUUCUUAAAGAUAGACCUUCAUUCCGGCUAUCAUCAACUCAAAGUUAGGGAGUGUGACAUCCCAAAAACCACUUUCCGAACUCGUUAUGGCCAUUUUGCAUUUCUUGUUAUGUCUUUCAGGUUAACUAAUGCCCCAACAGCUUUCAUGGACCUCAUGAAUCGAGUGUUCAGACCAUAUCUAGAAAUAUUUGUCAUAGUGUUCAUCGAUGAUAUACUGGUGUACUCCAGUAGUGAGGAUGAACAUUUUUAUCAUCUCCGAACAGUCUUGCAAACCCUUAGAACUCACAAGUUGUUUGCCAAGUUCAGUAAGUGUGAGUUUUUGCUAAGGUCAGUUGCUUUUCUGGGUCAUAUCAUUUCUUCCGAGGGUAUUAGAGUUGAUCCCCAAAAGAUCAAAGAUGUUAGAAAUUGGCCUAGACCUAUUUCUCCAACUGAUAUCCAAAGUUUCUUGGGUUUAGCUGGCUAUUACUGCCGUUUUGUUGAGCGUGUCUCCUCUAUAGCAUCUCCUAUGACUCGAUUGACCCAAAAGAAAGUUAGGUUCUUAUGGUCCGAAUCUUGUGAGAAGAGUUUUUAGGAGUUGAAGACUCAACUCACUUCAGCCCCUGUUUUGACUUUACCUGAUGGUGUGGAUGGUUUUGUGGUGUACUUUGAUGCUUCGAGAGUUGGGUUGGGUUGCGUAUUGAUGCAGAAGGGUAAGGUGAUAGCUUAUGCUUCUAGACAGUUGAAACCCCAUGAGAAAAAUUAUCCCACCUAUGACCUUGAGUUAGCUACUGUUGUGUUUGCUUUGAAAAUCUAGAGACACUAUUUGUAUGGUCUCCAUGUUGAUGUUUUCACUGAUCAUAAGAGUCUGCAGUAUGUGUUUACCCAGAGAAAAUUGAAUCUUAGGAAGAGACGAUGGUUAGAAUUAUCAAAGGACUAUAUAUGAGUGUGCUGUACCAUCCGGGCAUGGCCAAUGUUGUGGCGGAUGCCCUAAGUAGAGUGUCCAUGGGUAGUGUUUUGCCUGUGGUAGAAGGUAAGAAGGAGUUGGCUUGUGAUGUACAUUGUUUGUCUAGAUUGGGGGUUAGGUUGUUUGACUCUGCUGAAGGUAGUAUAGGGGUUCAGACUAGUUCCGAAUCCUCCUUAGUUUUGCAAGUGACGAAAAAGCAAUACUUAGAUGCUAGGUUGGUCAGACUGAAGGAGUCAGUCAAAGACCAAAAAGUAGAUCUUUUCUCCCAAGGGGGAGAUGGUGUGUUGAUAUUGCAGUGUAGAUUGUGUGUCCCGAAUGUUGAUGAUUUAAGAUAGAGGAUUAUGGCUGAAGUGCACGGGGCACGAUAUUCUAUUUUAUCUUGGUGCUACCGAGAUGUACUGAGACUUGAGGGAAAUCUAUUGGUGGAGUGGCAUGAAGAAAGAUAUAACAACAUUUGUAGCUAAGUGUGCAACAUGCCAACAGGUUAAGGAUGAACGCCAAAGACAUGGUGGUAUGAUGCAAGAGUUUAGUAUUCUCACUAGGAAGUGGAAAGAGAUAAAUAUGGACUUCGUGAUUGUUUUACCUCCUUCCUGACGCCAUCAUGAUUCCAUUUGGGUUGUGGUUGAUAGGUUGACUAAGUCUGCUCAUUUCUUGCCUAUUGAUACUUCAUAUACUGCUGAGGAUUACGCUAGAUUGUAUAUUCGAGAGCUAGUUAGACUGUAUGAAGUUCCUUUGUCUAUCAUUUCGGAUAGGGGUACUCAAUUCACUUCGCAAUUUUGGAAAGCUUUUCAGAAAGGUCUUGGUAACCAAGUGCUUUUGAGUUAUGCUUUUUAUUUGUAGACUGAUGGUCAGGCUGAGAGGACCAUCCAGACCUUAGAGGAUAUGUUGAUAGCUUAUGCACUUGACUUUAAGGGAAGUUGGGAUGAUCACUUACCAUUGAUAGAGUUUGCUUACAAUAAUAGUUUCCACUCUAGUAUUGGCAUGGCUCCAUUUAAGCCUUAUAUGGGAGGAAGUGUAGAUCACCCAUAGGUUGGUUCGAGGUGGGUGAAGCGGCUGUGAGUGGUCCUGAUUCGGUAUUUGAGGCUAUGGAAAAAGUUAAGUUGAUUAGAGAUAGGUUGAAAACUGCCCAGAGUCGUUAGAAGUCAUAUGCGAAUGUUAGAAGGAGAGACCUUGAGUUUGAAGUUGGGGACCUAGUGUAUCUGAAAAUUUCACCCAUGAGUGGAAUGAAGAGAUUCGGAAAGAAGGGGAAGCUUAGUCCCUGUUAUGUUGGUCCUUACAAAAUUCUUAGCCGUGUUGGUAAGGUAGCUUAUGAGGUCGAGUUGCCUUCCGAGUUGUCCUCUGUUCAUCUAAUAUUUCAUUUCUCUAUGCUUAGAAAGCAUAUUAGCGAUGCUGUGGUAGUGGAUUCCUCUGUGAGUGUUGACAUUCAAGAAAAUCUUUCUUUUGAUGAGAUUCCUGUUGAGAUUCUUGAUUUCAGUGUCCAAAGACUAAGGAACAAAGAAGUUCCCUUAGUCAAGGUGUUGUGGCGAAACCAAAUCUGUUGAGGGUGCAACUUAGGAAGCUGAGGCAAAUAUGCGAUCCAAGUACCCGCACCUAUUUUUUGUGAACUCCGAUCAAGCCGAAGGUACCAUUAUUUCCUAAAUCAUGCACUUUUGAUAAAAGUUGCAGCAGUUCAGCUGUUAUUUAUUAUGUGUUCAGCUGUAGUUUCUUGAAUUUAUGCAUUCUAUGUUGCAUUCAGAGUGAGAAAUGAUAUGGAGAUGAGUCUAACAAAUGGUUUCAGCUGUAUGCUCUAUUCCCUAUCUAAUCUUGGCAUAUCUAGCAUCAUUAGAGGAUGAAUGUUUCCAAGGGGGGGAUGAUGUAAUACCCCGGGAAAUUUUUCGUUGAAAUUUUGUGUGUAAACGUGUUGGGCUCUAUCUUCUAGAAUGAAUUAUAAAUUUUUCCGUGCGGAAUGUCUUAUAUUUUGACCCACCAUUGCGUAGAGUAUCGAAUAUAUGUACCAAUGAUAUGUGGAUCAUCCAAAACGGACACCCGAGCGACGAGUUAUGAACAUUCAGAUCGAACCGUGAAUAGUAGUGAACAGUAAAACAUGCAGGAAAAAGUACUGAGGCUUGGCAUAUUUUUUCUUGAUCUUUAAAUGAUCAUAACUCCUUGUACAUUAUGAUCUGGGUUAUCUACUAUAUAUCAACAGAAAGCUCUGUGAGUCCUCUUUCCAAUUAAAUUGAUUUCAUCCAAUUUGUCUAGAGGAGAAAAAAGUUAUGGUCGAUCUACUUCAGCCUAUAAAAAGUAAAUUUUUGGAUAAAAUUCAAACGAUCAUAACUCCUCAUCCACAACGAUCUGGGUGAGAUACUAUAUAUCAACAGAAAGAUAUGAGAGUCCUCUUUCUAAUGAAAUUAGUUUCAUCCAAUUUGGAUAUCGAAGUAAAACGUUAUGGUUGAUCUACUUCAGACUAUCAAAACAGUCCACCAAAGGACAGAUUCGAGAAUUAUUUGAUUUUUAGGGGCGUUUUGGUCAUUCCCCCUCACCCAAAAUCCNNNNNNNNNNNNNNNNNNNNNNNNNNNNNNNNNNNNNNNNNNNNNNNNNNNNNNNNNNNNNNNNNNNNNNNNNNNNNNNNNNNNNNNNNNNNNNNNNNNNNNNNNNNNNNNNNNNNNNNNNNNNNNNNNNNNNNNNNNNNNNNNNNNNNNNNNNNNNNNNNNNNNNNNNNNNNNNNNNNNNNNNNNNNNNNNNNNNNNNNNNNNNNNNNNNNNNNNNNNNNNNNNNNNNNNNNNNNNNNNNNNNNNNNNNNNNNNNNNNNNNNNNNNNNNNNNNNNNNNNNNNNNNNNNNNNNNNNNNNNNNNNNNNNNNNNNNNNNNNNNNNNNNNNNNNNNNNNNNNNGAAUUUGAAGCAUGAACCCAUAUCUUAUGAUGAUUAUUAUGAAAUCUUGUUGUUUAUGAUUUUGAAAGAUGAAUUUACAUGUGUGGAGAUAUAAAGCAUGAAUCUUGAACGAUAUUUAUCAUGAUUUUGAUAUUUCGAUUGUGAAUCCCCAUUGAAAACUGUGUUUUUUUGAGAAAGUGUAUGUUAUAAGCACGUUGAUGUUGAAUAUUUGAGAUAUUUUGAAUGAUUUGACCUUUUGGUCUUAAUGGAGUUGUUUUGAACUGGAGUGUGAAAGAAAUCUACAACGUGGUUGAUUUUGAUAGAUGGGAAGCAUGAUGGCUCCUGAGGUAUAUUUAUAUAUUACUAAAAUUGUUUUGUUGUGGAUUGUCUUUGAAAUGAUAUGAGCUAAGUUCGGGAGAAAUCUUUAGCACCGAGUGGGAGGUAUAAAAGCAACCUUACUUCCCUAGAACUAGGUACCCCCAUAGGAGUGAGCCUGAGGCUGAUUUAUAUAGUCAUCACUAGUUUGUGUGGAAUUGAUAUCGAUAGUCCUACUCUGAUGGCAAGGAUAGGACAGCUCUGCCUAACGUGGGUCGUACGUUGGACUCCAUGUAGCUCACAUUGUUUGUGUCGUUAUAGGAUCUCCUAGUGUGUGUGUGUUUCCUUGUGUCUAUGGUGAAUGGUGAAGUGAUUUGAAAAUGCAAUUGUGAAAGUUAUUCUUUUGAAAGAUUUAAAUGAUAUUUACAUUAUGAGAAUUGAUAUUCUUGAUGAAUUGAAUGUGAUUGACAAAUAAUAUGAUGACUCACAUGUGUUAUUGUACUUAUUUUAUCCUCUCAUGAUUAUGAUGAUUUUCUUCGGUCUAUGUGAGUCUUUCAUAUAUCCUGCAUAUUUCUUAUUAAUAUUUAUGAUGAUGAAGUUUAUACAACUGUAUAAAACCCUCAUAUACUCGGUUCCUUUCCAUGGUACUGACCCACAUCUUCGGAUGUGGGCUGUAUUUUCUCGAAAUAUAGUUUUAGGUGCUCAGUUCCAGGUUCGACAGUGAUUUUUUGGGCACGCUGUUCUACAUCCUCUAUUAUGAUGAGUCCUCAUGUUCCGAGGACAUGAUGUCUGAUGUUGGUUUCACGGAAUUGUUUAAAUUUGAUAACUGAGUAUGAGUCAGUUGGGGCAUGUCUCAAUGGCUCGCUGGUUUUAUUGAUUUUCAUUGAGGCUUGUCAAACUAGUAUAGAUGUUGGGAGUUGACUAAUAAAUCGUAUUUUGUUAUCUUUUCGAAAUUCUUUUAUUCUUGGAUGAUGAUAACUCUAUUUAUAUUUGAGGGUUAUUUAUGGAAACCCCAUUGAUUUAUGUUGAACUAAAUGAAAAUGGCUCAAAGGGUUAGCUUGGGGCUACUCGUAGCCUCAAGCACCAUGUGAUGCUCUGGGACCCAUUUUUUUGGGCGUUACAAAUAAUCUUUUGACCAACCAUUGCGUAGAGUAUCAAAUAAUCUUUCCAACGAUAUGUGGAUCAUCCAAAACGGACACCCGAGCGACGAGUUAUGAACAUUCUGAUUGAACCAUGAAUAGUAGUAAACAGUAAAACAUGCAGGAAAAAGUACUGAGGCCUGACGUAUGUUUGCUCCAACUUUAAAGGAUCAUAACUCCUUGUACAUGAUGAUCUACGUGAUCUACUAUAUAUCAACGGAAAGCUGUGCAGUCCUCUUUCCAAAGAAAUUGGUUUCAUCCCAUUUGUCUAUCGGAGAAAAAAGUUAUGGUCGAUCUACUUCAGCCUAUCAAAAGCAAAUUUUUGGGUCAACUUCAAAUGAUCAUAUCUCCUCAUACACAAUGAUCUGGGCAAGAUACUAUAUAUCAACAAAAAGAUAUGAGAGUCCUCUUUCUAAUGAAAUUGGUUUUAUCCAAAUUGGAUAUCGGAGUAAAAAGUUAUGAUUGAUCUACUUUAGACUAUCAAAACAGUCUACCAAAGGAUAGAUUCGAGAAUUAUUUGAUUCAAAAAUCCACCCAAACCCUAUAUUAAAGCCUACUAGAAGCAUUAUAUGUUAUAUUUCAUCAAAUUUCCUCAAAAAGAAAACCCUAAGCUCCUACAUCCAACUUCAAGAACCUCCAAAGUUCACCAUUAAUUCUGCAAAUUUAUUCAAGAUUCCAAGUUCCUAGUUCAAGAACUCCAAGAACCAUCAUUCAAAGGCACGAUUAACAUCUCAAAAAUGAGUAUCGAUCUAAAGUUCAUCAUUCAAGGUAUGUGGGAUUUUUCAACAAGAACUCUCUUUCGUUCUUGUUCCCAAAAGUAAUUUUCUUUACAAAGGCAUGAUUUUUAUUUGAUUUUUACGAAUUUGAAGCAUGAACCCAUAUCUUAUAAUGAUUAUUAUGAAAUCUUGAUGUUUAUGAUUUUGAAAGAUGAAUUUACAUGUGUGGAGAUAUAAAGCAUGAAUCUUGAAUGAUAUUUACCAUGAUUUUGAUAUUUGGGUCGUGAAUCCCCAUAGAAAAUUGUAUUUUUUUGAGAAAGUGUGUGUUAUAAGCCCAUUGAUAUUGAAUAUUUGAGAUAUUUUGAAUGAUUUGAUCUUUUGGUCUUAAUAGAGUUGUUUUGAACUAGAGUGUGAAAGAAAUCUACAACGUGGUUAAUUUUGACAGAUGGGAAGCAUGAUGGCUCUCGAGGAAUAUUUAUAUAUUACUGAAAUUGUUUUGUUAUGGAUUGUAUUUGAAAUAAUCUGAGCUAAUUUUGGGAGAAAUCUUUAGCACCGAGUGGGAGGUAUAAAGUGAUCUUACUUCCCUAGAACAAUGUGCCCCUGAGGAGUGAGCCUGAGGCUGAUUUAUAUAGUGAUCACUAGUUUGUGUGGAUUUGAUAUCGAUAGUCCUAGUCCGAUGGCAAGGAUAGUACGACUCUCCCUAAUAUGGGUCGUACGUUGGACUCCAUGUAGCUCACAUGGUUUAUGUCGGUUUUAGGAUCUCCUAGUGUGUGUGUGUGUGUUUCCUUGUGUCUAUGGUGAAUGGUGAAGUAAUUUGAAAGUGGAAUUGUUAAAGUUAUUCUUUUGAAAGAUUUAAAUGAUAUUUACAUUAUGAGAAUUGAUAUUCUUGAUGAACUGAAAGUGAUUGACAAAUUAUAUGAUGACUCACAUGUGUUAUUGUACUUAUUUCAUCCUCUCAUGAUUAUGAUGAUUUUCUUCGGGCUAUAUGAGUCUUUCAUACAUCAUGCAUAUUUCUUAUAAAUAUUUAUGAUGAUGAUGUUUAUACAACUGCAUACACCCCCAUAUACUCGGUUCCUUUCCAUGGUACUGACCCACAUNNNNNNNNNNNNNNNNNNNNNNNNNNNNNNNNNNNNNNNNNNNNNNNNNNNNNNNNNNNNNNNNNNNNNNNNNNNNNAUUUGAUAACUGAGUAUGAGUCAGUUGGGGCAUGUCUCAAUGGCUCACUGGUUUUAUUGAUUUUCUUAGAGGCUUGUUAGGCUAGUAUAGAUGUUGGGAGUUGACUAAUAAUUCGUAUUUUGUUAUAUUUUUGAAAUUCUUUUAUUCUUGGAUGAUGAUUACUCUGUUGAUAUUUGAGGGUUAUUUAUGGAAACCCCGUUGAUUUGUGUUGAACUGAAUGAAAAUGGCUCAAAGGGUUAUCUUGGGGCUACUCAUAGCCUCAAGUACUGUGUGACGCUCCGAGACUCAUUUUCUGGGGUGUUGCACAAACCCUCUGCAUAUUUUCCUUAAACUAAGGAUGCUCAAGUACUGUAACAUAUAACCUGAAUGAUCUAUGUUUUAAGAUGAUUCUUUGUAUGUACUGGAAUAAUGUUGAUGAGUGAUCUGAUAUAUUUGGUUGCAAAUAAUCUUCCUUUAUAUGCCCAAACUAUUGUAGCCACUCAUAAUUUUUGAACACUCAAUCAAUUUUGCUCUACCCCUGUUAGGCCCCUGUUGUUUGUUGCACCAUGUAUAGUGGUGUGAGUUGUAGAUUCUUAACUAUUUCCUUAAAUCCCUACAUUUUAGCCUCUAUUACUGGUUGCUUAAUUCUACCAUCUAUCAUAAGGACAUUGUUAAAAUCCCCACUAAGCAACCAAGCCUUUUGGAUAUUUUCCCUAAGAUUCAACUACUCACUCCAUAGUUCUAUUAUCUAAAUCAACACAUUCUUUGCAUAAACCACAGUAAUAAUAGCUGAGAAGUUGCAAUUGAUAUCCUUAAUCUUGCAGUGUACAAAUUAUUCCUGCACAUUUAGGAUUUGUCUAUGAACAUGUUUCCUCCAGAGCAACCAUAUUCCGCCAUUUUCACCAUGUGGGUAAUUACAAAAGUAGUUCCAUUCUUUAGAAAAUUUCAUCAGCACAGUCUUAGCUUUUUCUCUCCUUUAUUCUAGUCUCUAAACAACCAAACACAUCAACUUUAUUCUUCUUCAAAAAAAGGAGCACCUCUUUCUGUUUGAAUGUCUGGUUUAGCCUACUUAUAUUCCAAGUGGACAGGUUCAUUGUUGUUUAAAUACCUUAUAAGGUGCAUGACAUGGGAAGCUUGUCCUACUCUCAUCCGUGCUCACCAAUACAACAAAACGAUUACCUAGAUUCUCUAUUGGGUUUGAGCUUGUAUGUGUAGUUGAUGGUGCAGCUUUUUGGGCACCAGAUUUAUCCUGAUUCACUAUUCUUUAUGGGUCUGUAGAUUCGUUAGUCUCGUUUCCUUGUGGAGCUUCUUGUCGAGCUUGCCAAGCUUGCACUACUUUCCUUAUUAUUCAACCUCUUUUUGUCUUUUAGGGGUUGUUUGAACUCCUCUUCUACACGGCACUGUAGAAUUUCCAUCUUCUCUUCUUGAUUCGUACUCUUGCACUCCUCCGUGUUAUUCCCAUAUUGAGUAUGGUAAUUGCAAAAUUCUGGCUUCUAAUUCUGCUCUACUUCCUAAUCAAUUGAUCCACAAGGAGUUUCAAUUACAAUAGUAACAACCAUCGGUUGCAAUAUAUCUACCUCGAUCAAGACCUGUGCAUAGGAAAUUCUAGUCAUGUCGGACUAUUUGUCCAUCCUAUUGAUUAGGUGGACUGAAUACCAAAUCAAUUCCUUUCCCUUCUUCUCUACUAUGCUUCAGAUCCACUGGACUAUACAUAUCAAUUAGUUUUAUAUCCUAUUUUGAGCUUGUAGAGGCACUCAUAUCAGAAAAUUGUAGCCUCCUAGGGAGAUUUGCAAGUUUAGUUAUAGGUUUCUUCACAUAAUUAGGUUAAAGACCAUUGCACUUGAUUAUACGUUCAUAUUCUAGCUUUUUCUCCUCCCUAAUUAUCUGAAAUUAAGCAGGGAAGAAUCUACCAAAAGUGAGUGGAGAGAGACUUUGACAUUGUCUUAUUGCGGGAGUCACUAUAGUCGCUGUAGAAGUCGACUUAUUCCACCCUCUUACCAUCUUCAGUGUACAUUAGCCUCUCUCAACUAAACGUGCACCGAGAUCUAAUUUCAACUAAUCAUGUACCUUUUUUCAAUCACUUUCUUUGUUGUUACUUUUUUUUAUUACUUUGUUGUUAGUAUUUACUUAGUUUCUUGUCUAUUAUGGGGGAAUACACACUAUAGCUAGAAGAAGUUAAUUUAUUGGUAAUCUUACGAGGAUGAACACCAUGUUUAUAGUUGAUAAAUCUUUUGUUUGAGUUUUAAUUUUUCAUAAUUAGCAUAAUUUGGUGUUAUUUCCAUUAGUUCACAUUCCAAGUUAUCAUAAACAUUGUGUUACUUAAAUUGUUCAAGUUAAUAGUGUGUUGUACUUGCUGGCAUAUUUGAGGUAUCAAGGAAUGAUUUUAUUAAAUGAUGGUGUGUUGUUAAUGGAAUGAUUUUGUAGAAUGAUGGUGUUAAUGAUGUGAUUUUGUGGAAUGAUGGUGUGUUGUUAAGGAAUGGUUGUUGUCCUAGUUAAUGGCAUUAAGGCAUGGUUAAUUUGAAAAAAUUGUUGUGAAAUUCAUGUGGUGUAUGGAAUAAUAUUGUAAAUUGUGGAAUGAUAUUGAGAAAGUUGAAGCAACAAAUGAUAUACUAAUGAUAUUAUUCAGAAUAUUGGUGCUCUCUUUCAAAGUGUACAUCGGUAAAGUUUGAGUAUCCGAUAGUAUCACUUAAGUGGGUUAUGCUGACAAAUUCAGUGUUGGGUGUUGUAGUUAGCCACAUUAUGCUUUACUAAUGUCCAAUGUUGAUGAUGAUUAUAGGAACCAUGGUUCCAAAGGUUAACAAAGGAAAGGGAGUGGCAUCUAGCUCCUAUCAAGGUUAGAAAAGGUCAUGAAAAGGGCAAUCUUUUGAGGCUAACCGUGAUGCCUCUUCAACUCUUUAAGUUCCUUGUCGUACAUUUGGUAUCAAAUGGGUUGAAAAAGAAGGCAUCCAAUAGUAUAAGGAUAAUAAAGAUCAUUAUUACCAACCAACAGAAUGAUUUACAAGGAGAGUUUGAUACGAUACUAACCUUGUAUCUUAGUCCAUAUCAGGCAUGUUAAACUUGACUUCAUUUUUUAGUAAAUGGGUGAAUCCAAUUUUGACUUAGUAAGGUAGUUUUAGGACAAUAAGUUCCCUAGCACUCAAUGGAACAGGUAAAGAUAUGAGGACACAUUCUAAAGAUGACGGCUAAGGCACUAAAUUCCAUUCAUGGAACUCUAGACGUGAACCACUCUAGAUUAUGGGAACUAUAUAGUUGACCUCUUUACAGUGAUAUUAGGCACACUUUGUGUAGGGUAUGUCCCAUGGAUAGGUUGGACCAUCAUAAAGAAAAGGGUUACCAUAAUACUUGUCCCUAUGCUUUCCUAAACAAGGAAAGACACAUUUGGUUAAGGAUAGUCGGUGCUUGCCUUAUUUUGGGGUCACACUUCACAAACAUCUUUCAUGAUCGGGUAUGUUUAGUAUAUUCUCUUAUGACUAUUAUUCGUAUCAACGUUGGUGCAGUGAUCCGCGCUUAUAUGGACAAGGCUAGGUUACACAAAAAGUUACGAUUUAGUUUUGGGGGCUUGUUGACCAAAUUCUUGAAAGCAAAUGAUAUUGAGGAGGAUCCAUAUGAUCAUAAGUCGCUACAAAGUUUGAAGGGCAUCGAUGUCACUAAGGUUAAAAAAUCAGAUUCAAGGCAAGGGCUAACCCUAACAACUACUAAAACAAAUGGACGUGAUGAAAACUUCUUUCGCUAUUUCUAUGACAUGAUGAAGCUAAUUAUGAUGUGUGGCAACCAUGUACCUACAAAUGAUGAGUUGCAUCAACUGGAUUAUGAUUAUCCAAUAAAUAAGCAUGUAAGAGCUAUGUGUAGGGUGGGUCAUACAUUUUGAGAGCUCAUGGAUGAUGAUGUACCAACUGAUGAGGAUGGGUCAUACAUUUUGAGAGCUCAUGAAUGAUGAUGUACCAACUGAUGAGGAUAGGUUGAUAGUGGACUCCGACAUGGAGGUUGAUUCUGAUGUAGGUGGUAUGAGCCCAGAUGUUGAGGAGGAGUACUAUUAGGACCAGAAAGUUCUUUUACCCAUCUAUUCUUUAUUGUUUUAUUUACACUUGGUACAGCGCUAUGCUUAAGCGUGGGGUUGUGGGGUAAAAAGUGCUUCAUGGAUAUAUUCAUGAAACUACAUUUGAUGACUUUACUUUCUAUAUUGGUUUGUAAUAACUAGUAUCUUCACUGUAGUGGAUUUGUUUAAUUUGGAAGGAGCAAUCAGUUUGGUCUUUUGGUUUGUUAUUUUUUUAAGUUAUAUAUUUAUUUAUGUUUUAUGUUCUUUUAUGCUUGGAUUAAAAGUUUUGAAAUAAAGUCAUAGUUAGGUACUUUUCUCGAUGAUGGAUGGAUGAUGAUCGUCUUAUGAGAAAAUUAGUCAUUUUUAGACAAAAACAAGUGGAGCCUAUUUUUCAUAAAAUUGAACUUAAGUGCUCUUGUGGGUUACAUGACCAUAUGACACAAGCAUGAUAUACAGUAGAAACAAAACAUGCUUAGUGGGUAGAUGAAUGAUUACUUUUGAAACUCCUAAGCUCAACUAUAUGAUUAUUUGGUAAUUCAAGCUUGAAGUUAAAUUCAUUUCAUGGCUUGAGUAAGAAUUCAAUAUAGGUCAAUCUUGAUUGGACCAUGUUCUUUGUAUGAGUGAGUAUUUUCUUAUUCCAUGUUAAAUUGUGGUGUGUAGAACUACAAAGUAAAAUGAAGUAUGUAAGGUUUAGGAAAUGAUAUAGGCCUUCUUUGGCUAGCCCUGUUGAAUGCCUUUUCUAACUACCUACUAUUUAUGAACUUAGUAAGUGUCGUCGAGACUUAAGCCUAUUAUUUGGUAGCCUUAUUUUUAGCCUAUUUCAUUUUGUUUAUUGACCAUGUUUUGAUCCCAAAAAUUCCUUAGCGCUUUAGUUGAAAAAUUUAAAGGUUGGGAGCUGGUAUUGCAAAGUGGAAUUGGUAAUAAAGCACAACAUGGUAGUGUUUGGUUUGGCAAAACGAUUAUGCAUUGUGGAUAGUGGGAAUGUAUAGUAGAUAUAUUAAAAAAGAGAAAAGGAAAAGAAAGAGAAAGAAUGGUCUAUCAAAAUGAAAUAAAUCUCCUACAUCUCUUUUGUAGUCUAAUUCAAGGAGAUGAGGCUGAAAUGAAAGAAGUAUAAAUUACAAGUGAUAGAGAGGAAAUGUUGUUGAAAUGAGUUUCAUAGUAAGGUGACGAAUUAAAGUGCUUAUGGAAGUUAGUCACUAUUUCUAUCCAAAAUAGUACCUACCCAUCCCUUAGCCUACAUUACAACCCAUUAAAGUCCUGCUUGAUCUUAUUCCUUAACAUCCUUAGUAGAGUAUUACACUAAGGGCAUGCUUAUGGGUCACCUAAUGUGCAUGUGAAUUCUUUAAGAGAGUGAGCAUAAAUUUUCAUCCGUACCCCCAAAAUUUUGUGAUGUUUUACAUGUGCUAAGAAAUGUAGGGGUACUCUCUUAGGGUAAGGGGCACAUGUUUAAUGAUGGAUUGAGACUUGUUGUAGUUUCUUAAUUGAAAAAUGUGCAUGAAUUGCAAGUUUCUGAAGAGUAUAUUCUUGAGGGUAGGAAGCUUCAAGUAGUUAUUCAUAUAUUUAAUAACAUGUUCAUAAACAAGACUUGUUGUUCAUAUAUAUUGUGUGAUCCUAACUUGAGUAUCUAAUUUUUAAUUGAUGAGAUUGGAGCCUUGUGUAGUGUGCGUAAACUAGAUAAUUGUUUGAGGACAAAAAAAGCUUUAAGUGUAGGGUCGUGAUCUUGGGUGUAUUUAUAUGCCUAAACACUAUAUAUUACCCAUACACGAGCUAUAUUUUGAGACAAAAGUAUCUAAAUUCAUAGGUUUUAUCAUACUUUUGAUGUAAAUGAGCUAACAUACAUUAUUAGUACAAUUUUAGGAGUAAAAUAAGCAUAUGGAAGAGACAGGGGGAUCAUGAAAUGCGUCCAACACAAGACGUAAUACAAAUGGCAUGUUGGAGACAUGGUUCACACCGCAACCCCUAGGGUCUGCGCUGAGCUUCAUGCCACGGCCCCUAGGUUAUGUGUUUAGCUUUGUUCCAUAACACUUGGGGUAGGUGUUAAGGAGUAUACUGCAAUGUCAUAUUCCGAGGUGAGAUAUUCAUGUAAAUUUACAACGUACAUGUGAAACUCCCAAUUCUGUAAGCCAUAUUUGGUCACAUGAAUUACCAAGAGUACCCUAGUUAUAAGAGAGCUUAUGAUGUGUUAAGUGUGGUUAUAUGAGUCGCUUAAGGUAGUACAAGCUAAGAGUUUCAAAAUCCAUCAAGUUUUAGUGUUUGAAUUUGUAAGGGUCAUCUUUGAAUGAGCAUAAAUUGAUAAAUAUGUGGUAUUUCUGCAUAUUUCUACCCACCAAAUUAUAUAUAAUCGAAUUAGCUUUCCAACGAUACCAAUUUCAUCAAAAUCUGACUCUCGAGCAAGGAGUUAUGGCUUUACGAAGUAGAGUGCAUCACCUAAUCAACACACAUGGCUACUGGAAUAGUUGUGCGAUAAGAAAUGCCGCGCAUACCUAAAUGUGUACAAUAAGAAAUGCACCACAUACCUAAAUAUGUGCGAUAAGCAAUGUGGCACAUACCUAAACGUGUGCGAUAAGCAAUGCGGCGCAUAUCUAAAUGUGUGCGAUAAGCAAUGUGGUGCAUACUUAAAUUUCAGGUAGAUAAAACAAACCAUUUUGAGUUAUUUUGAGGGCAAUUAAGUCUUUUGGCACUCCUUACAUGCCGCUAAACUUAACCUUAUGACUUUAAUAGAAUCUAAACACAUCAUAACCCUAUUAUCAAUCUAAGUUCACCAUCGAAGAGCACUAAAGGAGAAAAACAACUAGGGUUGCACAAUCAACAUUGAGGGUCCAAUCUUUCAACGAAUCCGUUACCAAAGGUAUGUGGGGUUUUCAAAAAGAACAUCCUUUCGUUCUUGUGCCCAAAAAUUUGUAUUAUUUUACGAAGAUACAUGAUUUUACUCUUUUAAUUAUGAAUUUGAGAUGGAAACUAUUAUCCUAUAUUCUUGUUCAAGAAACUAUGAUAUUUUUGUGAUGUCUUAAAGAAAAAUUCCUUGAGUUUUGAUGUUAAUAUCAUGUUUCAAGUUGAAUUUCCAGAUUUUCAUAUAAAGUACGAAUCUUGAAAUGUUUUGCUUAAGUGUUGAUAUAUGGGAUUUAAACCCUCUUUGAGAUUAUGAUCAUUGGUGAAGUAAUGUGUUAUACACACCUUGAUAUUUGAAUGAUUUGACCUUUCGGUCUUGAAAGAGUUAUUUUUGAACUCGAAUGAGAAAUGAAAUCCACAUGUUGAUUUAUUAUGAAAAAAGGGUAGCAUGAUGGCUCCCGAUAUGAAUUAUUGAAUUGCAUUGUUGUGGAUUUUCUUUUAAAAUGAUCUGAGCUCAGUCCGGGAGUAGUCUUUAGCACCGAGUGGGUGGUAUAGCUGUGAUUGGUACUUUUCUAGAACUACGUGCCCCCAUAGGAUGUGAGCCUAAGGCUAUUGAUAUAGUGAUCACUAGUAAGCAAAAGAUUAAGGUCCUACUCUGAUGGAAAAGAUAGGACAACUCUCCCCAAUGUAGGUUUGAUGUUGGACUCCAUGUAGCUCACAUGCAUUAUGUCAGUUGUAAGAGACUCCCAGUGUGUGUGUGUAGUCUUCUGAUUAAGGUGAAAAAUGUAAUAGUUUAAAAGUGUGAGUUGAGAAAGUUAUCCGUUUUGAAGAAUUUGAUGAAUAUUUCUAUAUCUUAAAGAGAAUUGUUAUGAAAGCUACUCGUUUUGAUGACUUGAAAAUGAUUAUUAAAGAUUAGGAUUUACUAUGAUGACUCACAUGUUUUCACCGAUGUGUUUUACUCUAUGGUGAUUAUGAUGAUUUUAUUUUGAGCUAUAUGAGUCUCUUAUUACAGCAUGCAUAUUUUCCUAUGAAUAUUUAUCAUAUAGGACUUUUUUGAAAACUUGCAUACACCCUCAUAUACUCAAUCCAUAUUCCAUGAAACUGACCCAUGUAUUUGUACGUGGGCUAUAUUUUCCCUUUAAUGUAGGUUCAGAUGCUCAUUCCCAGGCUUGACAUAAUUCUCCGACCAUAUUGGUCUACAUUUUUUGUAGUGGUGAGUCCUCAUGGUUCGAGGACUGGUUAUUUUAGAUUUCACUCUUUUAUUUUGAGUUAUCUUUUUAUUCCCUGAUGUUAGGGUCAGUUGGGGUCUAUCCUAAUGGAUUAGUGUUAUACAGUUUAGUAGAGACUUGUCAAACUAGAUGGUUAGAUUGAUCAAUCUUGUUGAGAGGUCGUAUUUUUUUACUUUUCGCAUCUCUUUCAUGUUGAAUUAUGAUAUUUUGGAGAAUAUAUUGAUGUUUGAUGAUAGUAAUCCUGUCGAUCAGUGUUGAAUGGUAUGAAAAUGGCUCAAAGGGUUAGCUUGGGGCUUCUUGUAGCCUUAAGCACUGUGUGACGCUUCAAGACCCAUUUUUGGGGCGUUACAAACUUGGUAUCAGAGCCUAAGGUUAUUGGAGUCCUUGGGAGUCUGGCAAGCCGCGUUAAGUAAAGUAUUGAUCAUCGGUGUGUAGCGCGCCACAUUUAUAAGAAAGAGGCUACGAGACAUUUUAGGAAAAAGUGUUAUUUCUUUCUUUCAGAAGUCCAUCGUGCUUUUAGUUGUUUCCUUUCAGCUAUUAAUUCAUGCUCUUCUCUUUUAGAAUAUGCCUCCUCGCUGAGCUAGAAGAAAUAACAAUGGUCAGCAGCCCCAACCUGCUAACCCACUGAAUGAAAAUGUGUCCCAUGCUGAAUUUUGGGCAGUCUUUCAGGCACUGGCCCAAGCUAUCACUACGAAUGUUCAGGCCAAUUCGGCCUAGGCUCUAUAUAAAUAAGGAGAUAAAGCAGCUGCUACGAGGAUCUAUAACUUUAUAAGGAUGAAUCUGCCAGAAUUUUAUGGGUCCAGGCCAGAUGAGGAUCCACAAUUGUACUUGGAGGAGGUGCAAAAGAUUACUCAGGCAAUGCAUGUCCCUGAGGAGCAUAGUGUGGAGUUGGUAGUAUAUCGGUUGAAAAACCUUGCUUAUGAUUGGGUAGUUUCUUGGAGAAAGAGUAGAGGUGAGGGUGUCGCCUUUCCAUCUUGGCAGGAGUUCUAAGAUGCAUUCCUGUAUAAGUUUUUCCCUUUAGAUAUAAGAGAGCCGAAGGUAGAGGAGUUCAUGAACUUGCAACAGGGCUCUAUGACUGUUAAAGAGUACUGUCUAAAGUUCAAUCAGUUGGCCAAAUAUGACCUAACUUAGUAGGUGAUAAUUGGGGCAGUAUGAGUAAAUUUGUGAUAGGAGUAUCUAGCUAUGUUGUUAAAGAGUGCAGGCCUGCUAUGUUAAAUUGUGAGAUGAAUCUUUCUAGGUUGAUGAAUUAUGCCCAACAGAUUAAAGUAGACAAGAUCAAGGAGAGGGAUAGAAUGAGAAGGAAUAAAAGAGCUAGGUCUAAGCAGCACAGACAGGGUUAGACAAGAUCGUAGGGAGGGAAUCGCCCUCAGUUUUAGAACCAUUCAUCUAUACCAGCACCAUCAUCAUCUAGUGCUCCCAUACCUAGGGGUGGGCAGGAGCAAGGUAGAAGGUCAUAUGCAGCCAGGUCCUAGUACAGUGUUGGCAGUAAGCCAAAUCAUCCUUCGUGUCCUAAGUGUGGUAGAACCCACUCGGGUGAGUGUUUGGGUGAGAAAAAAGGUUAUUUCGGGUGUGGUGACUUAGGUCACAAAAUUAGGGAGUGCCCACAUGCCAGGUAAGGGCAUCGUUAUAAUCGCCCUCAGACUCAAAAUCAGACUGCUAGUGCUCUAAUUUAGGUGACUCGCCCAGCCCCAGCUCAGGGCGCCUCUUCUAGCACUGCUGGCGGUUAGAGCCAGAAUAGGUUCUAUGCUUUGCCAUCUCGCCAGGAUCAAGAGGACUCUCCGGAUGUCAGGAUCAAGAGGACUCUCCCGAUGUUGUUAUUGGUAUGCUCCAUAUACUUCAAUUUGAUGUCUAUGUUUUGUUGGACCCUGGGUCCAAUUUUUCAUAUGUUACACCUUUGGUUGCUGUGAAUUUUAAAACGAGUCCUGAAAAUAUUCCUGAGCCUAUCUUAGUUUCUACCCCAGUGGGUGAUUCAAUUAUUGCCCAGAAAGUGUAUAGAAAGUGUCCUGUUACAGUCUUUCAUAGAGUCAUGUUGGCUGAUCUGAUUGAGUUAGACAUGGUGGAUUUCGAUGUUAUUCUGGGUAUGGACUGGCUUUAUUCUUGUUAUGCCUCUAUAGAUUGUCGUACCCGAGUGGUCAAGUUUCAGUUUCCUGAUGAACCUGUGUUUGAGUGGUCUGGGAGUUCUUUAUCUCCCAAGAGUCAUUUUAUCUCAUAUAUUAAAGAUAGAAAACUUAUUUCCAAGGGGUCCAUUUAUCAUCUGGUUAGAGUCAAGGACACUAAGUCUGAGACUCUAACUCUCCCAUUAGUUAGCAUUGUCAAUGAGUUUUCUGAUGUUUUUCUGGAAGAUCUCCCGGGGAUACCUCUUGAUAGAGAGAUAGAGUUUAGGAUCGAUCUUCUUCCCGAUAAUCAACCCAUUUCUAUUCCUCCUUACCGUAUGGUACCUAAAGAACUUAAGAAGUUGAAAGAGAAACUCAAAGAUCUGUUAGAUAAGGGUUUCAUAAGGCCCAGUGUUUCUCCUUGGAGUGCUCCUGUGUUAUUUGUGAGAAAGAAAGAUGGUUCCCUGUGUAUGUGUAUUGACUAUCGCCAGCUGAAUAAAGUUACUGUAAAAAAUAAGUAUCCUCUUCCUAGAAUAAAUGAUUUGUUUGACCAAUUGCAAGGUGCAAGUUACUUGUCAAAGAUAGACCUUCGAUCCAGCUAUCAUGAACUCAAAGUUAGAGAGUGUGACACCCUGAAAACAUCUUUCCGAACUCGCUGUGGUCAUUUUGAGUUUCUUGUUAUGUUCUUCGCGUUAACUAAUGCCCCGGGAUCUUUCAUGGACCUUAUGAAUUGAGUGUUUAGAUCAUAUCUUGACAUGUUUGUUAUCGUAUUUAUAGACGAUAUUCUGGUGUACUCCCAUAGUGAGAAUAAAUAUCUAGAUCAUCUCUGAAUUGUCUUGCAAACUCUUAGAAACCAUCAAUUGUUUACCAACUUCAGCAAGUGGGAGUUUUGGUUGAGGUCAGUUGCUUUUCUGGAUCAUAUCAUUUUUUUUGAAGGUAUUAGAGUUGAUCCCCAAAAGACACAAGCUAUUAGAAACUAGCCUAGACCUAUCUCUUCGAAUGACAUCCAAAGUUUCUUAGGUCUAGCUGGCUAUUACCACCGUUUUUUUGAAGGUUUCUCCUCUAUAGCGUCUCCUAUGACCUGGUUGACCCAAAAGAAAGUGAAGUUCUUGUGGUCCGAUUCUUGUGAGAAGAGUUUUCAAGAGUUGAAGACUCGACUCACUUCAGCCCCUGGUUUGACUUUUCCUAAUGGUGUUGAGGGUUUUAAAGUAUAUUGUGAUGCUUCUAGAAUUAGUUUGGGUUGUGUAUUGAUGCAGAAGGGUAAGGUGAUAACUUAUGCUUCUAAACAGUUGAAACCCCGUGAGAAGAAUUACCCCAUUAGCUGCUGUUAUGUUUGCUCUAAAAAUCUGGAGACACUAGUUGUAUGGUGUUCACAUUGAUGUUUUCACUGAUCAUAAGAGUUUACAAUAUAUAUUUACCCAGAGGGAGUUGAACCUUAGGUAGAUAAGGUGGUUAGAGCUGUUAAAAGAUUAUGAUUUAAGUGCAUUGUACCAUCCUGGUAAGGCCAAUGUAAUGGCAGAUGCCCUAAACAGGGUGUCUAUGGGUAGUGUUUCGCUUAUUGAAAAGGGUAAGAAAGAGUUGGAUCGUGAUGUGCACCGUUUGGCUAGACUGGGGGUUAGGUUGUUUGACUCUGCUGAAGGUAGUAUAGGGGUACAGAGUAGUUCCGAAUCCUCCUUGAUUUCGGAAGUAAAGGAGAAGCAAAACUUAGAUGCUAGUUUGGUCAGACUGAAAGAAUCAAUCAAGGACCAAAAGGUGGAGGUUUUCUCCCAAGGGGGAUAUAGUGUGUUGAGAUUGCAGGAUAGAUUAUGUGUUCCGAAUGUUGAUGAUCUGAGACAAAGAAUUAUGGCUGAAGCGCAUGACGCACGAUAUUCUAUUCAUUCUGGUGCCACCAAGAUGUACCAUGACUUGCGGGAAAUCUAUUGGUAGAGUGGCAUGAAGAAGGAAAUAGCAGCAUUUGUGGCUAAGUAGGCGACGUACCAACAGGUUAAGGUAGAGCACCAAAGGCCUGGUGGUAUGAUGCAGGAGUUCGGUAUUCCCACUUGGAAGUGGGAAGAGAUAAACAUGGAUUUUCUGACAGGUUUACCUCCUUCCCGACGCCAUCAUGAUUCCAUUUGGGUUAUUGUGGAUAGAUUGACUAAGUCUGCGCACUUCUUGCCUGUGCAUACUUCUUAUACUGCUGAGGAUUAUGCUAGAUUGUAUAUCCGAGAAUUAGUCAGAUUGCAUGGAGUUUCCUUGUCCAUCAUUUCAGAUAGGGGUACUCAGUUCACUUUGCAGUUUUAAAGAGCUUUUCAGAAGGGUCUUGGUACCCAAGUGAAUUUGAGUUCUGCUUUCCAUCCAUAGAUAGAUGGUCAGGCUGAGAGGACCAUCCAGACCUUAGAGGAUAUGUUGAGAGCGUGUGCUCUUGACUUUAAAGGGAGUUGGGAUGAGCAUUUACAGUUGAUAGACUUUGCUUACCAUAACAGUUUUCACUCUAGGAUUAGCAUGGCUCCAUUUGAGGCUUUGUAUGGGAGGAAAUGUAGGUCACCUAUAGGUUGGUUUGAAGAGGGUGAAUCUACCGUGAGUGGUCCUGAUUCGGUCUUUGAGGCUAUGGAAAAAUUCAAAGUGAUUAGAGAAAGAUUGAAAAUCGCACUGAGUCAUCAGAAGUCGUAUGCUGAUGUAAGGAGAAGAGACCUUGAAUUUAAAGUUGGUGACUUGGUGUAUUUGAAGAUUUCACCCAUGAAGGGAGUGAAGAGAUUUGGGAAGAAGGGGAAACUUAGUCCCCAUUAUGUUGGCCCCUACAGAGUACUUAGCCGUGUUGGUAAGGUAGCAUAUGAGGUUGAGUUUCCUUAAGAGUUAUCUUCCGUUCACUCUGUCUUCCAUGUCUCCAUGCUUAGGAAACACGUUGGUGAUUGUGUUGUUGUAGAUCCUUCAUAAAAACCUGAUGUCCAAGAUAGUCUUUCUUUUGAGGAAGUUCCUACUGAGAUUUUAGAUCACCAAUUCCGAAGACUAAGGAACAAAGAAGUUCCCUUGGUCAAGGUGUUAUGGCGAAACCAAUAUGUUGAAGGUGCAACUUGGGAAACCAAGACGGAUAUGCGAUCCAAGUAUCCGCACCUAUUUUUUGUAAGCCCUGAUCAAGCCUAAGGUACCAUUCUGCUCUAAAUCAUUCCUUUUCUAUGCAGAGUUGCAGUAGUUCAGCAGUUAUUUUAUACUAUUCAGCUGUGAUUUCAUGAGUCAUGCACUCCUUGUUGUUUCCGAAAUGUAGAAUGUAGUAGAGGCAAGAUUAGCAAGUUGCUUCAGCUGUGUACCCUUCGUUUUCUCUUAAAUCUUAGUAUACCUAGCGUCAUUCGAGGAUGAAUGUCCCCAAGGGGAAGAUAUUGUAAUGCCCCGGGGCACUUUCCUAAGCUAAAAAGCGAACCGAUGUUCGUACAUGUGAAAACCCUAAUUCUGUAAGCCAUAUUUGGGCACAUGAAUUACCAAGAGUACCUUAUUUAUAAGAGAGCUUAUGAUGUGUUAAGUGUGGUUAUAUGAGUCACUUAAGGUAGUACAAGCUAAGAGUUUCGAAAUCCAUCUAGUUUUAGUGUUUGAAUUCGCAAGGGUCAUCAUUGAAUGAGCAUAUUUUGAUAAAUAUUCGGUAUUUCUUCAUAUUUCUACCCACCAACUUAUAUAGAAUCGAAUUAUCUUUCCAACGAUACCAAUUUCAUCAAAGUCCAACACCCUAGCAAGGAGUUAUGGCUUUGCGAAGUAGAGUGCGUCGCCUAACCAAUCGCACAUGGCUACUGGAAUAGGUGUGCGAUAAGCAAUGUGGUGCAUACCUAAAGGUGUGCGAUAAGCAAUGUGGCGCAUACCUAAAUAUGUGCCAUAAGCAAUGCGAUGCAUACCUAAAUAUGUUCGAUAAGCAAUGCGGCGCAUACUUAAAUUUCAGGUAGUAAAAACACUCCAUUUUGAGUUUUUUUGAGGGCAAUUAAGUCUUUUGGGACUCCUUACAGACCCCUAAACUUAACCUUAUGAAUUUAAUAGAAUCUACACACAUCAAAACCCUAUUAUCAAUCUAAGUUCAUCAUCCAAGGGCACUAAAUGAGAAAAACAAUCAGGGUUGCACAAUCAACAUUGAGGGUCCGAUAUUUCAACUAAUCCAUUACCAUAGAGGUAUGUGGGGUUUUCAACAAGAACAUCCUUUCGUUCUUAUGCCCAAAAAUUUGUAUUAUUUUACAAAGAUACAUGAUUUUACCUGUUUAAUUAUGAAUUUGAGAUGGAAACUAUUAUCUUAUAUUCUUGUUCAAGAAACUAUGAUAUUUUUGUGAUGUCUUAAAGAAAAAUUCCUUGAGUUUUGAUGUUAAUAUCAUGUUUCAAGUUGAAUUUCCAUAUUUUCAUAUGAGUUAUACUUGUUUGCUAUAUAAAGUAUGAAUCUUGAAAUGUCUUACUCAAGUGUUGAUAUAUGGGAUUUAAACCCUCUUUGAGAUUAUGAUCUUUGGUGAAGUAAUGUGUUAUACACACCUUGAUAUUUGAAUGAUUUGACCAUUUGAUCUUGAAAGAAUUAUUUUUGAACUCGAAUGAGAAAAGAAAUCCAUAUGUUGAUUUAUUAUGAAAAAGGGGUAGCAUGAUGGCUCCAUAUAUGAAUUGUUGAAUUGCGUUGUUGUGGAUUUUAUUUUGAAAUGAUCUGAGCUCAGUCCGGAAGUAGUCUUUAGCAUCGAUUGGGAGUCCUAGCUAUGAUUGGUACUUCCCUAGAACUAUGGCUGAUUGAUAUAGUGAUCACUAGUGAGCAAAAGAUUAUGGUCCUACUCUGAUGGCAAGGAUAGGACAGAUCUCCCCAAUAUGGAUUACAAGAGACUCCCAGUGUGUGUGUGUGUAUUCUUCUAUUUGAGAUGAAAAAUGUAAUAGUUGGAAAGUGUGAGUUGAGAAAGUUAUCGUUUUUGAAGAAUUUGAUGAAUAUUUCUAUAUCUUAAAGAGAAUUGUUAUGAAAGCUACUCGUUUUAAUGACUUGAAAAUGAUUAUGAAAGUGAUUGGGAUUUACUAUGAUGACUCACAUGUUUUCACCGAUGCGUUUUACUCUAUGGUGAUUAUGAUGAUUUUAUUUCAAGCUAUGUGAGUCUCUUAUUACAGCAUGCAUAUUUUCCUAUGAAUAUUUGUGAUAUAGGACUUUUAUGAAAACUUUCAUACACCCUCAUAUACUGGGUCCAUAUUCCAUGGUACUGACCCAUGUAUUCGUACGUGGGCUACAUUUUCCCUGUAAUGUAAGUUCAGGUGCUCAUUCCCAAG